Molecule: ribosomal RNA, 347 nt
Filed under: Pseudo-nitzschia galaxiae
Lineage: Eukaryota; Bacillariophyta; Bacillariophyceae; Bacillariales; Bacillariaceae
Description: LSU rRNA
Rfam family: Eukaryotic large subunit ribosomal RNA
Source: RNAcentral
GUUCCUUGGAAAAGGACAGCUGAGAGGGUGACACUCCCGUCCGCCUGGUAGAGUGAGUCUUUGUCAACGAGUCGAGUUGUUUGGGAUUGCAGCUCUAAUUUGGUGGUAAAUUCCAUCUAAAGCUAAAUAUUGGUGGGAGACCGAUAGCGUACAAGUACCGUGAGGGAAAGAUGCAAAGAACUUUGAAAAGAGAGUUAAGGAGUACCUGAAAUUGCUGAAACGGAAGCGAAGGAAACCAGUGUUUGUUGGUUCAUAUUUCCCUUGUCACUUGUGAUGUGGGCGCUGUGAGCUUGCGUGGGUUUGCUUUGGUUGAUUCCUUUGGAAGAGCGCAGUCAGAGUUGAUGUCU